This 645-nucleotide unclassified non-coding RNA is filed under the name Hevea brasiliensis (rubber tree). The record is from RNAcentral. Lineage: Eukaryota; Viridiplantae; Streptophyta; Magnoliopsida; Malpighiales; Euphorbiaceae.
AUUUUGCCAAUUCUUCUUCAGCAAGGAAACAAGAAAAUUGACACUGAGCUGCACGUUUUGAAAGAUCUGCUUGUCUUCCAUUCCAAGAUUCCCUACUGCAACACCCAUGCAAAGAACUUUCUUCAGCUGGAACUUAACCAUUGCUUUGGUCUCAUUCACCUUUGACUCAAGAGAUUCCUGAUGAGUCACCAGUGUAGGGAACUUCCCUGCCUUGUUAAGCCCCGGGCCUAGAAGACGUGGAAUCUGCUUGAUGAUGGCCUCAGAUGCAAGGAAAGCGUGAUACUUCUUCGCAAGUUUCUUGACCAGCUUCUUGUUCUUAUUCAUCUUCUUCAGCCCUUCAACAUCCAUGUAGUCCAGCCCAAUCUUCUCAGCCUCCUCAACAUGCUGAGCAUCUCCGAGCAUGCAGACCUUCAUCUUCGGGCGGGGAAUAUGCGGCAACUUCACAGAGCCACUGAAACGCUUGUCUUUCUGGGGGUCGUAGUUCUUCAGACCGAUCUGAAGCUCAACGGUUUCAGUAAAAUUCCGCUUCCUCUUAUCGGUGUCUUUAACCUUGGACUCGGCCACAACCUGGGCAAUCGCCUCCCUCAAGACAUCACUCUGAAGCUUGCUCAUGGCUUCAGAUCAGUGGAGGAGCCGACGGCGGCG